UAUAAAUGAUUUUUUAACAUUAGAGCAUACAUAAAUAAAAGAAAAUCAAAAUCACAUCAUUGAAAAACGAUUUCAUCUUCCCGGGAGAUGCUCGUGCACACCUGGAGCGCAAUCCAUCUUAGAAAUUACAGGCUGUGAGAUUGAUUGCAUGCCCCACUUAUUAAACUUUAACUUCCAGAAUGUUUUUCUAUAUAUCUAUAUUCUUUAAAUAAAAAAUAAAUUUGGAAAUCCUCUAAUUGAGUGUCGGCCGGAACGCUUUUCAGUGCAAUGCGGGUUAUCUUGUGCCCCCACCGGCACAGGGAGACAUGCAUGCUAAAAAUGAAGGGGCAAAAUCGACAGCACAUCUUGACAGACAUGCUCUUUCAAAUUCAAGCCCACCUUUCUCCCUCGCCAUUGAGUGCUAGCUACCAGUAGUGGUAUCUCUGGGUCCGCUGGCUGACUGGGCGUGAAGAUGGUGUCAAAUCAGGUGGCCAAGAAUGGCAAAAGGAGACGACAAAUCUCACAAGGAGGAUCGCUCACAUAUUCCAUCUCUGAUCUCUCCCCGGGAAAUUUCUAGGUGCGUC
Molecule: long non-coding RNA, 563 nt
Filed under: Populus tremula
Lineage: Eukaryota; Viridiplantae; Streptophyta; Magnoliopsida; Malpighiales; Salicaceae
Description: long non-coding RNA (PTRE_LNC002787)
Source: RNAcentral